UGGGGAAUAUUGCACAAUGGGCGCAAGCCUGAUGCAGCCAUGCCGCGUGUAUGAAGAAGGCCUUCGGGUUGUAAAGUACUUUCAGCGAGGAGGAAGGCGGUAAGGUUAAUAACCUUAUCGAUUGACGUUACUCGCAGAAGAAGCACCGGCUAACUCCGUGCAGCAGCCGCGGUAAUACGGAGGGUGCAAGCGUUAAUCGGAAUUACUGGGCGUAAAGCGCACGCAGGCGGUCUGUCAAGUCGGAUGUGAAAUCCCCGGGCUCAACCUGGGAACUGCAUUCGAAACUGGCAGGCUAGAGUCUUGUAGAGGGGGGUAGAAUUCCAGGUGUAGCGGUGAAAUGCGUAGAGAUCUGGAGGAAUACCGGUGGCGAAGGCGGCCCCCUGGACAAAGACUGACGCUCAGGUGCGAAAGCGUGGGGAGCAAACA
This 426-nucleotide ribosomal RNA is filed under the name uncultured bacterium. RNAcentral describes it as "partial 16S ribosomal RNA". It matches the Rfam family "Bacterial small subunit ribosomal RNA", at positions 355 to 774 of the family's 1533-position model. The record is from RNAcentral.